Molecule: ribosomal RNA, 253 nt
Filed under: uncultured bacterium
Lineage: Bacteria
Description: partial 16S ribosomal RNA
Rfam family: Bacterial small subunit ribosomal RNA
Source: RNAcentral
UACAGGGGGGGCAAGCGUUGUUCGGAAUUACUGGGCGUAAAGGGUGCGUAGGCGGGUCUUUAAGUCAGGGGUGAAAUCCUGGAGCUCAACUCCAGAACUGCCUUUGAUACUGAAGAUCUUGAGUUCGGGAGAGGUGAGUGGAACUGCGAGUGUAGAGGUGAAAUUCGUAGAUAUUCGCAAGAACACCAGUGGCGAAGGCGGCUCACUGGCCCGAUACUGACGCUGAGGCACGAAAGCGUGGGGAGCAAACAGG